CCAAAUAAAGAUUGCAUUCAGGAGUGGUGCCCUGCCGUAUUUAGCGAAAGCAUGAAUGCUUACAUCGGGCAAGGAUCAGGUGAUGGAGACGACGCCACUUCGUGCUUGAAGUUAUGGUGCCCAGCUGCCACGCAUUUUUCGAUGAACAGCUGGAUUUGUCCUUCUGACCUUGAUCCGGAUAUGGCAACGAUGUCAACUACGAAGGAUGAGGCGGCGCCUGGCACAGACCAAACGACAAAUCAGGAUACUAAGCAAGAUGGCGCGGAACAGGAUAAAAAC
This 279-nucleotide long non-coding RNA is filed under the name Dermacentor andersoni. RNAcentral's name for it is "uncharacterized LOC126525194". Lineage: Eukaryota; Metazoa; Arthropoda; Arachnida; Ixodida; Ixodidae. The record is from RNAcentral.